ACGCUCGACACCUACUGGAGGCAGCAGUCGGGAAUAUUGCGCAAUGGAGGAAACUCUGACGCAGUGACGCCGCGUGCAGGAAGAAGGUUUUCGGAUUGUAAACUGCUUUAGACAGGGAAGAACAAAUGACAGUACCUGUAGAAUAAGCUCCGGCUAACUACGUGCUAGCAGCCGCGGUAAUCUGAGCGGGCUGGCAAGGC
RNAcentral lists this ribosomal RNA (200 nucleotides) under uncultured bacterium. RNAcentral describes it as "partial 16S ribosomal RNA". It matches the Rfam family "Bacterial small subunit ribosomal RNA", at positions 328 to 539 of the family's 1533-position model. The record is from RNAcentral.